This 712-nucleotide ribosomal RNA is filed under the name uncultured Flavobacteriaceae bacterium. RNAcentral's name for it is "bacterial SSU rRNA". It matches the Rfam family "Bacterial small subunit ribosomal RNA", at positions 61 to 773 of the family's 1533-position model. Lineage: Bacteria; Pseudomonadati; Bacteroidota; Flavobacteriia; Flavobacteriales; Flavobacteriaceae. The record is from RNAcentral.
GUCGAGGGGUAUAGUUCUUCCGAGCUAGAGACCGGCGCACGGGUGCUUAACGCGUAUGCAAUCUACCUUUUACAGCGGGAUAGCCCAGAGAAAUUUGGAUUAAUACCUCAUAGUAUGAUACAAUCCCAUGAUUGAAUCAUUAAAGUCACAACGGUAAAAGAUGAGCAUGCGUCCCAUUAGCUAGUUGGUAAGGUAACGGCUUACCCAGGCAACGAUGGGUAGGGGUCCUGAGAGGGAGAUCCCCCCCACUGGUACUGAGACACGGACCAGACUCCUACGGGAGGCAGCAGUGAGGAAUAUUGGACAAUGGGCGCAAGCCUGAUCCAGCCAUGCCGCGUGCAGGAUGACGGUCCUAUGGAUUGUAAACUGCUUUUGUACAGGAAGAAACACUCCCUCGUGAGGGAGCUUGACGGAACUGUAAGAAUAAGGAUCGGCUAACUCCGUGCCAGCAGCCGCGGUAAUACGGAGGAUCCAAGCGUUAUCCGGAAUCAUUGGGUUUAAAGGGUCCGUACGCGGUCUUAUAAGUACAGUGGAGAAAUCUCCCCGCUCAACGGGGAAACGGCCAUUGAUACUGUAGGACUUGAAUUAUUAGGAAGUAACUAGAAUAUGUAGUGUAGCGGUGAAAUGCUUAGAGAUUACAUGGAAUACCAGUUGCGAAGGCAGGUUACUACUACUGGAUUGACGCUGAUGGACGAAAGCGUGGGUAGCGAAC